RNAcentral lists this ribosomal RNA (212 nucleotides) under Kriechbaumerella sp. D1885. Its description in RNAcentral is "partial 28S ribosomal RNA". It matches the Rfam family "Eukaryotic large subunit ribosomal RNA", at positions 967 to 1163 of the family's 3401-position model. Lineage: Eukaryota; Metazoa; Arthropoda; Insecta; Hymenoptera; Chalcididae. The record is from RNAcentral.
UUUCCCUCAGGAUAGCUGGCACUCGAUUUAACGAGUCUCAUCUGGUAAAGCGAAUGAUUAGAGGCCUUGGGGCCGAAACGACCUCAACCUAUUCUCAAACUUUAAAUGGGUGAGAUCUCUGGCUUGCUUGAACCUUGAAGCCACGAGAUACUUUCUCUCGGAUCAGAGUGCCAAGUGGGCCAAUUUUGGUAAGCAGAACUGGCGCUGUGGGA